CUACGGGGGGCACCAGUGAGGAAUAUUGCACAAUGGGGGGAGCCCUGAUGCAGCAACGCCGCGUGGAGGAUGACGCAUUUCGGUGUGUAAACUCCUUUUAUAUGUCAAGAAAAUGACGGUAGCAUAUGAAUAAGCACCGGCUAACCCCGUGCCAGCAGCCGCGGUAAUACGGAGGGUGCAAGCGUUACUCGGAAUCACUGGGCGUAAAGGACGCGUAGGCGGGUUGGAAAGUCAGGUGUGAAAUCCUACAGCUUAACUGUAGAACUGCACUUGAAACUUCUAAUCUAGAGUAUGGGAGGGGGAGAUGGAAUUAGUGGUGUAGGGGUAAAAUCCGUAGAUAUCACUAGGAAUACCUAAAGCGAAGGCGAUCUCCUGGAACAUUACUGACGCUAAGGCGUGAAAGCGUGGGGAGCAAACAGGAUUAGAUACCCUAGUAGUC
RNAcentral lists this ribosomal RNA (439 nucleotides) under uncultured bacterium. Its description in RNAcentral is "partial 16S ribosomal RNA". It matches the Rfam family "Bacterial small subunit ribosomal RNA", at positions 339 to 795 of the family's 1533-position model. The record is from RNAcentral.